GCNAUAACUGCAGUCGAGCGAUGGAUUAAGAGCUUGCUCUUAUGAAGUUAGCGGCGGACGGNNGAGUAACACGUGGGUAACCUGCCCAUAAGACUGGGAUAACUCCGGGAAACCGGGGCUAAUACCGGAUAACAUUUUGAACCGCAUGGUUCGAAAUUGAAAGGCGGCUUCGGCUGUCACUUAUGGAUGGACCCGCGUCGCAUUAGCUAGUUGGUGAGGUAACGGCUCACCAAGGCAACGAUGCGUAGCCGACCUGAGAGGGUGAUCGGCCACACUGGGACUGAGACACGGCCCAGACUCCUACGGGAGGCAGCAGUAGGGAAUCUUCCGCAAUGGACGAAAGUCUGACGGAGCAACGCCGCGUGAGUGAUGAAGGCUUUCGGGUCGUAAAACUCUGUUGUUAGGGAAGAACAAGUGCUAGUUGAAUAAGCUGGCACCUUGACGGUACCUAACCAGAAAGCCACGGCUAACUACGUGCCAGCAGCCGCGGUAAUACGUAGGUGGCAAGCGUUAUCCGGAAUUAUUGGGCGUAAAGCGCGCGCAGGUGGUUUCUUAAGUCUGAUGUGAAAGCCCACGGCUCAACCGUGGAGGGUCAUUGGAAACUGGGAGACUUGAGUGCAGAAGAGGAAAGUGGAAUUCCAUGUGUAGCGGUGAAAUGCGUAAAGAUAUGGAGGAACACCAGUGGCGAAGGCGACUUUCUGGUCUGUAACUGACACUGAGGCGCGAAAGCGUGGGGAGCAANCAGGAUUAGAUACCCUGGUAGUCCACGCCGUAANCGAUGAGUGCUANNUGUNNNAGGGUUUCCGCCCUUUAGUGCUGAAGUUAACGCAUUANNCACUCCGCCUGGGGAGUACGGCCGCNNG
Molecule: ribosomal RNA, 863 nt
Filed under: Bacillus cereus
Lineage: Bacteria; Bacillati; Bacillota; Bacilli; Caryophanales; Bacillaceae
Description: bacterial SSU rRNA
Rfam family: Bacterial small subunit ribosomal RNA
Source: RNAcentral